UUGUCCAAUGAUGAUCAAACUAAAUACUUUUGUUCUUCUGAUGUGCCAUCUGAUGGCUCGGUGCCGAAGCAAUUUGGAGACCUGAACUGCGGAUAU
This is a non-coding RNA of Triticum urartu, 96 nucleotides long. Lineage: Eukaryota; Viridiplantae; Streptophyta; Magnoliopsida; Poales; Poaceae. The record is from Rfam.